CGGAGCUGCCGCGCGCUGCCCAGCCCCGGCCGAAUUCCUGCCCCGGCCCCCGCGCCCUCCGCCCCGCGGGACAGCUGCGCCGGAAAAGCCAGCGCGGAUUGGCCGCCGUGGGGAGAGGGAUGUGGGGCACAUGGGGUGCGGGGACGGGGAAGGGAUGGGUCCUGGUGGGGGUACUGCAGCGCUGGUGGGUGCGAGGAGGGAGGUGGGGUGCUGGGCCACCCCCUGCAUCCAUCUGUCCAGUGCUACCUUCUCAUGUCUGUCCAUCCCGUAUCCAUCCGUCCCACAUCCGUCCUCCCAUAGCUAUCCAUCCCAUGUCCACCCAUCCCAUGUCCAUCUGUCCUGUGUCCAUGAAUCCAGUGUCCACCCAUCCCAUGUCCAUCCAACACCUACCCAUCCAUUCAUACCCAUCCAUCCAUAUUCCAUCCCUCCUAUGUCCACCCGCCCCAUGUUCAUCCAUCCGCAGUCCAUCCACCCCGUGUCCAUCUGUCCUAUAUCCAUCCAUCCCGUGUCCGCCCAUCCCGGAUCCAUCCAUCUUGUACCAUCUGCUUGUAUCCAUGAGCUCAGUGUCCGUCUGUCCCAUGUCCAUCCCUCCAUACCCUUCCAUCCCAUGCCCGUCUGUCCUGUGUCAACCCACUCUGCAUCCACCCACCCCAUAUCUGUCCAUCCCAUGUCAGUCUAUCCAUAUCCAUCCACGCUGUGUCCAUCCGUCCCACGUCUAUCUGUCCCAUAUCUAUCACCCCAUGUCUGCCAUCCCAUACCCAUCCGUUCCAUCCCUUCCAUGUCCAUCCCUCCCAUCAUCCCUGGACACACGGGGGAGGGGGCAGUGUGCCGAGCCCCCACCCCUGCCCACCCGCCCCGCGUCCACCCACCUGGUGUCCACCUGCCCCAUCUCCUCGGGGUGGGUGCUGGGGUGGAGGUUGGGCACCCGCUCCCCCCGCCCCCCUCCCACCCACGCUGCCUUCUCCGGGAUGGGUGACCCUGCAGGGUGGGGGACGGGGGCUUCCACGGGACGGGGGGCAGGAGGUGGAGGAACCCAGGGUAGGGACGCGGGGACACCCCCAUCCCACAAAUCCUCCCAGGCAGGAGGGGGCUGAGCAGACACCACGGGGGCCGU
This 1114-nucleotide long non-coding RNA is filed under the name Numida meleagris (helmeted guineafowl). Its description in RNAcentral is "lncRNA (ENSNMEG00000004376.1)". The record is from RNAcentral. Lineage: Eukaryota; Metazoa; Chordata; Aves; Galliformes; Numididae.